RNAcentral lists this ribosomal RNA (253 nucleotides) under uncultured bacterium. Its description in RNAcentral is "partial 16S ribosomal RNA". It matches the Rfam family "Bacterial small subunit ribosomal RNA", at positions 524 to 776 of the family's 1533-position model. The record is from RNAcentral.
UACAGAGGUCUCAAGCGUUGUUCGGAUUCAUUGGGCGUAAAGAGCGUGUAGGCGGCUUUACAGGUCCGUUGUGAAAACUCGAGGCUCAACCUCGAGACGCCGGUGGAAACCGUAAGGCUAGAGUCCGGAAGAGGCGAGUGGAAUUCCUGGUGUAGCGGUGAAAUGCGCAGAUAUCAGGAGGAACACCAAUGGCGAAGGCAGCUCGCUGGGACGGUACUGACGCUGAGACGCGAAAGCGUGGGGAGCAAACAGG